UACGUAGGGGGCAAGCGUUGUCCGGAAUCAUUGGGCGUAAAGAGCGCGUAGGCGGCCCAGUAAGUCCGCUCUGAAAGUCAGGGGCUCAACCCCUGAAUGCGGGUGGAUACUGCUGGGCUAGAGUCCGGAAGAGGCGAGUGGAAUUCCUGGUGUAGCGGUGAAAUGCGCAGAUAUCAGGAGGAACACCGAUGGCGAAGGCAGCUCGCUGGGACGGUACUGACGCUGAGGCGCGAAAGCGUGGGUAGCAAACAGG
Molecule: ribosomal RNA, 253 nt
Filed under: uncultured bacterium
Lineage: Bacteria
Description: partial 16S ribosomal RNA
Rfam family: Bacterial small subunit ribosomal RNA
Source: RNAcentral